CCUGUCGGGACCCGAAAGAUGGUGAA
RNAcentral lists this non-coding RNA (26 nucleotides) under Gossypium hirsutum (cotton). Lineage: Eukaryota; Viridiplantae; Streptophyta; Magnoliopsida; Malvales; Malvaceae. The record is from RNAcentral. RNAcentral also lists the same sequence under 1 other name.